This 253-nucleotide ribosomal RNA is filed under the name uncultured bacterium. RNAcentral's name for it is "partial 16S ribosomal RNA". It matches the Rfam family "Bacterial small subunit ribosomal RNA", at positions 524 to 776 of the family's 1533-position model. The record is from RNAcentral.
UACGAAGGGGGCUAGCGUUGUUCGGAAUUACUGGGCGUAAAGCGCACGUAGGCGGAUAUUUAAGUCAGGGGUGAAAUCCCGGGGCUCAACCCCGGAACUGCCUUUGAUACUGGGUAUCUUGAGUUCGGAAGAGGUGAGUGGAAUUGCGAGUGUAGAGGUGAAAUUCGUAGAUAUUCGCAGGAACACCAGUGGCGAAGGCGGCUCACUGGUCCGAUACUGACGCUGAGGUGCGAAAGCGUGGGGAGCAAACAGG